GCCGAGGUGGCGGAACUGGCAGACGCGCUGGACUCAAAAUCCAGUGAUGGCAACAUCGUGAGGGUUCGAGUCCCUCCCUCGGCA
RNAcentral lists this transfer RNA (84 nucleotides) under Candidatus Jorgensenbacteria bacterium. Its description in RNAcentral is "tRNA-Leu". It matches the Rfam family "tRNA". Rfam says of the family: Transfer RNA (tRNA) molecules are approximately 80 nucleotides in length. Their secondary structure includes four short double-helical elements and three loops (D, anti-codon, and T loops). Further hydrogen bonds mediate the characteristic L-shaped molecular structure. tRNAs have two regions of fundamental functional importance: the anti-codon, which is responsible for specific mRNA codon recognition, and the 3' end, to which the tRNAs corresponding amino acid is attached (by aminoacyl-tRNA synthetases). tRNAs cope with the degeneracy of the genetic code in two manners: having more than one tRNA (with a specific anti-codon) for a particular amino acid; and 'wobble' base-pairing, i.e. permitting non-standard base-pairing at the 3rd anti-codon position. The record is from RNAcentral. Lineage: Bacteria; Candidatus Joergenseniibacteriota. RNAcentral also lists the same sequence under 1 other name.